GCUGCGGCAGGCCUAACACAUGCAAGUCGAGCGGUAACAGGGAGUAGCUUGCUACUCCGCUGACGAGCGGCGGACGGGUGAGUAAUGUCUGGGGAUCUGCCUGAUGGAGGGGGGGAUAACUACUGGAAACGGUAGCUAAUACCGCAUAACGUCGCAAGACCAAAGAGGGGGACCUUCGGGCCUCUUGCCAUCGGAUGAACCCAGAUGGGGAUUAGCUAGUAGGUGGGGGUAAUGGCUCACCUAGGGCGACGGAUCCCUAGCUGGUCUGAGAGGAUGACCAGCCACACUGGAACUGAGACACGGUCCAGACUCCUACGGGAGGCAGCAGUGGGGAAUAUUGCACAAUGGGGCGCAAGCCUGAUGCAGCCAUGCCGCGUGUGUGAAGAAGGCCUUCGGGUUGUAAAGCACUUUCAGCGAGGAGGAAGGCAUUGAGGUUAAUAACCUCGGUGAUUGACGUUACUCGCAGAAGAAAGCACCGGGCUAACUCCGUGCCCAGCAGCCGCGGGUAAAUA
This 512-nucleotide ribosomal RNA is filed under the name uncultured Cedecea sp. Its description in RNAcentral is "bacterial SSU rRNA". It matches the Rfam family "Bacterial small subunit ribosomal RNA", at positions 39 to 525 of the family's 1533-position model. Lineage: Bacteria; Pseudomonadati; Pseudomonadota; Gammaproteobacteria; Enterobacterales; Enterobacteriaceae. The record is from RNAcentral.